GGGACUCAAUUGAUAAAAUGAUAUGCCUUACAACUCCCCAAAAAAUCUGGUCACAAACGGGUUAAUGAUUAUAAAUUAUAUAAUGAUUAUAAUUUAUAUCUAACAUAAAAACAACAGAAUCAAAAAUAAUCAGCCGUGUAUACCAUACACAUGCUUUGUCUAAAACUGUUCUCUGUUCUUACACAACAGAACCUGGAUCAGGAUUCCUCUGACCACAACUCUGACAAUGGCUCAGAAGACAAACAUGAUGGUGGUGGGAUUACUAGCCUGCAAACAGACCCUGGUGAUGAUAUCCUCAGACAUCCUUCCUCCCCACUCUUGUUUGAGGACAGUGUUGAUUUUGAGUUGUUUGAACCACUGUGGCAGUCUUUUACUGACUCUGAAUCCAUUGGCAAUGGAGAAGAAUGUCCCAUGGAAGACAGCACUGACAAGUCAGAAAAUUAAGAAUCACAUUUGGGAGUAGGCGGUAAUGAAAAGUUUCCUUUGGCAAAUGAUAAGCCACUUUACACAGGCUCACAACUAACGAAAGCUCAGAGUUUUUUACUUAUACUUUCAUAUGCUUUGAGACACUCACUUACUGGUGUGGACCUGUCUGAUCUUUUAGAUUUGAUUAAUAUCCACUGUCCGGAAAAUGUUCUAACUUCAAAGCAUCUGCUCUUAAAAGAGCUUAAACCAAUACAAGGUCACCUAGAACGUCACGUAUACUGUCCCAACUGUGAAUAUUACAUCGGCGACCAAGUCACUGAAGGGCAGUGUUCUGUAUGUAACUCUGCAUGGGAUAGAAACAGCUCACUGAAGAAUGGAAAUUUCUUCCUAUACUUACCCAUCCAAACAUAACUGGAACAUCUUCUUCAAAGAGAAGAUAUUGCAUGUUGUCUCAAGUCAGGAAAUGGCACGUGCAAUUCAGAAAAUUAUG
RNAcentral lists this long non-coding RNA (916 nucleotides) under Sparus aurata (gilthead seabream). RNAcentral's name for it is "lncRNA (ENSSAUG00010022704.1)". Lineage: Eukaryota; Metazoa; Chordata; Actinopteri; Spariformes; Sparidae. The record is from RNAcentral.